CCUACGGGCGGCUGCAGUGAGGAAUAUUGGUCAAUGGACGAGAGUCUGAACCAGCCAAGUAGCGUGAAGGAUGACUGCCCUAUGGGUUGUAAACUUCUUUUAUAAAGGAAUAAAACGAGGCACGUGUGCCUUUUUGCAUGUACUUUAUGAAUAAGGAUCGGCUAACUCCGUGCCAGCAGCCGCGGUAAUACGGAGGAUCCGAGCGUUAUCCGGAUUUAGUGGGUUUAAAGGGAGCGUAGAUGGGUUGUUAAGUCAGUUGUGAAAGUUUGCGGCUCAACCGUAAAAUUGCAAUUGAUACUGGCAGUCUUGAGUACAGUUGAGGUAGGCGGAAUUCGUGGUGUAGCGGUGAAAUGCUUAGAUAUCACGAAGAACCCCGAUUGCGAAAGCAGCUUACUAAACUGUGACUGACAUUGAUGCUCGAAAGUGUGGGUAUCAAACAGGAUUAGAUACCCCUGUAGUC
Molecule: ribosomal RNA, 460 nt
Filed under: uncultured bacterium
Lineage: Bacteria
Description: partial 16S ribosomal RNA
Rfam family: Bacterial small subunit ribosomal RNA
Source: RNAcentral